Molecule: long non-coding RNA, 644 nt
Filed under: Manihot esculenta (cassava)
Lineage: Eukaryota; Viridiplantae; Streptophyta; Magnoliopsida; Malpighiales; Euphorbiaceae
Description: long non-coding RNA (MESC_LNC007846)
Source: RNAcentral
AAUCAUAUUCAUAUAAUCCAUAUAUAUUUGGGGCGUGCUUUAAUUCAUAUGGGACAGAUUUGGUGCAACACUUGCAAUCAUAGGCUGAGGGAGCCUAAUCAAACCUAUGGGCUAAAACUACAUAAAGGAAAGCCUAAAGUGAAGAUCAAGUAAGGCUUUUGUGAAGAUUCAACUUUGUUAGGAUGGGCUUGCUAGUUUUAUUAUUUAAACACUUGUUUUAUUUUAGUUUUGUUUGGGCUUGUAUUCUGGCCAUAUUUUAUCUUUUAAGUUUUAGAGUGUUGGGCCAUGUUGUGGGCUUAUAUUUUAAUACCUAUGUGUUAUUUUAGUGUGUGAUUAGGCUUGGGUCUUAUGUGUUUAAGUCAGGCCCAAGAAGAGUGUCUUAGGGUUUUAUUUGUUUUUCUCCUUACUAUAUAAGGAUAAGAAACAAUUGUAAGAGGCAGCUUUUAAUCAAACUUUUCAGAAUUUCUUUCAUGCCUUUGGCGUGUAUUGCUUUGAGUGAGAGUGAGGAUUUGCUUUCAUCAAUUGCACCAGGAAUCUUGGCUAACUUAUCAACUAUUCGUUGUGGCGUUUGUCGGAUUCUCAUCUAAAUCCUUCGAUCAUUGGUGUUUCAGCUUCUCUAAGUUUGGGGUGCCAUAGGAGGUGGG